UAAAUUGCAUACGAACUGUAAGAUACAUACCAUCUGCAGGAGGCAACUGAUGGUUAACUCCACAGAAAGAAAGGUGAAAACUGAAGAUAAAUAUGAGAAAUACACAUGAGAAACGAUAAAGGAGGAGAGAACACAAUCAGCUCACAAGUUUUCAUGGGUUGUCAACACCAGAAUAAGCCCAGUUUUAUAAUUCUACGUUGUGCCAAAAUCCUUGAGGGUGCUCCAGAUGUAAAUAUCAAAAGUGACAGUUGUGCUAAGAAGAAGUGAACGUUUGAGAACAAAUGGAUAUUAUGAUAUCAAYGGACAACCAGUUAUUUCAUAUAAAGAGACACCUUUCAGGUAUAUUA
Non-coding RNA from Poecilia reticulata (guppy), 347 nucleotides. NCBI's taxonomy places the organism in Eukaryota, Metazoa, Chordata, Actinopteri, Cyprinodontiformes, Poeciliidae. The record is from RefSeq and is a predicted model, not a curated record.